This 253-nucleotide ribosomal RNA is filed under the name uncultured bacterium. Its description in RNAcentral is "partial 16S ribosomal RNA". It matches the Rfam family "Bacterial small subunit ribosomal RNA", at positions 524 to 776 of the family's 1533-position model. The record is from RNAcentral.
UACGUAGGGUGCAAGCGUUGUCCGGAAUCACUGGGCGUAAAGGGCGCGUAGGCGGCGUUUUUAAGUCGGGGGUGAAAGCCUGUGGCUCAACCACAGAAUGGCCUCGAUACUGGGACGCUUGAGUAUGGUAGAGGUUGGUGGAACUGCGAGUGUAGAGGUGAAAUUCGUAGAUAUUCGCAAGAACACCGGUGGCGAAGGCGGCCAACUGGACCAUUACUGACGCUGAGGCGCGAAAGCGUGGGGAGCAAACAGG